Molecule: ribosomal RNA, 301 nt
Filed under: uncultured bacterium
Lineage: Bacteria
Description: partial 16S ribosomal RNA
Rfam family: Bacterial small subunit ribosomal RNA
Source: RNAcentral
CAGUCGCCGCGGGAAUACGAAGGGGGCUAGCGUUGCUCGGAAUUACUGGGCGUAAAGGGAGCGUAGGCGGAUCGUUAAGUUGGGGGUGAAAGCCCGGGGCUCAACCUCGGAACUGCCUUCAAUACUGGCGAUCUUGAGUAUGAGAGAGGUGUGUGGAACUCCGAGUGUAGAGGUGAAAUUCGUAGAUAUUCGGAAGAACACCAGUGGCGAAGGCGACACACUGGCUCAUUACUGACGCUGAGGCUCGAAAGCGUGGGGAGCAAACAGGAUUAGAUACCCCCGUAGUCCCUGUCUCUUAUAC